Molecule: long non-coding RNA, 5413 nt
Organism: Brassica rapa (field mustard)
Lineage: Eukaryota; Viridiplantae; Streptophyta; Magnoliopsida; Brassicales; Brassicaceae
Source: RefSeq, a predicted model, not a curated record
AAAAAAAUUAUAAAAAAAUCGAAUUUGAAAAAGUAUAAUUCGAAAACAUAAAAAAAGAUUUACUUUUUUUUAUUUAAAUAAUGAUUUAUUAUAUAUACAAUAACAAGGGCAUAAGAGUCUUUUGACACUUAAUGAAGAAUGUAUUUUUGAAAAUAUCUUUUUAGUAGUGGUAAAAAUGAAAAGUGGUACCAUGAAAGUGGUAAACAUGUAAUUUUCCUUUAUUUAUACGUUUAGGAAGUAUAAUCAGCAUUAAAAAAAGCAUUAUUUAUACUUUUAGGAAAAAAAGGUAAUCAUUUUGUGUUGUUCCGGUAAUAAACAAUAACGCGUUUUAUUGAGUAACUAGGUUAAGAACCGCGCCUUGCGCGGAAUAAAUAUUAUAUAUAAAUAACUUUUACAUAUUAUGAAAUUUUAAUUAUAUAUUAAACAAUAAAAAAAUUUCAGUAACUAUUACGUAUAUUAUUAAAUUGAUGCAAACACAUUAAUAAAUUCUAUUAAUCCGAACAAACACUUUUUUCUAUUUUAUACAGUAUAUAAUUAAAUUUAAAUGAGAUUAACAUAGAUAUAUAGUAUAUUUUUAAUACUGAUAUUUAUUAAAUAAAUUUUUCUUCUCAUAUUAUUUUUUGAUCAUUUGUAUUUUUUAUAACAAAAAUUUUAAAUCAGUGAUAGCAAAAAAUUUCAUUGUGUGAUGUUUAAUAGUUUAAGUAAUUUAUACUUUAUAAAAGUAAUUCAAUGCAAAGUUAAAAUUUAAAUAUUAUGUUGUCAAUAUUUGUUCAAAUCUAUUAUCAAAAAAUGUUAAAAGAAAAUUUAAAUAUUAAAAUAUUUAUAUAUUUUAUAUGGUAUAUAGUUUAAGUUAAACAAUAUUAAUAUAUAUAUAUAUAUAUAUUUAAUAUUUAUUAAAUCACACUUAAUACUUAUAUAAUUGUGUAGUAAUUUGUAUCUUGUCAUAAUAAAAAUGUUUAAUCAUGGUUCACAAAUAUUUUAAUGUGAGGCUUUUAACUGUUUUUGUAAUUUAUUGUCGUUUUCAAAAAUUCAAAAUAUAACAUAUACGAAAAAAAUUAAAUUUUAUUAUAUGAUUUUGGUUAUUUAAUUUAUUUUAAUAAGAUAAAAUUGAAAAAAUGAUAGAGAAUACACUAAUUUUUUAUCAAAUAUUUAUUAUUUAAAAUCAUUAAAUGUCAUAUAUACUUUAGCCACAUUAGAUAAUUCAACAAUUUUUAUUUAUGGAAAUAAUGAAGGACAUUAAUAUUUAAUUUAUGGUUAAUUUAAUAAAAAGUUUAUUAUAUAUUUAAAUGGACCAAUAUAUUUUUUUAGAAAUUCUAAAAAUCAUUGUGGUAAUGAUACGUGUCUACUUUAAAUGUUGUAAUGUUUCUCUUUUAAUAUAUAGGGGAUUUUAUGCUAUGUUCUCAUUUAUUUCACAUGCAUAAAAUAAAACGUUAAUAAAUGACCCACACAUAGAACGACAUUCGUCUCUCUAAUCGCAACCUUCAAUUAUUGUGGGUUUACUAUUGAUUUAUACUAAUAGAUAAUCGUGGGGCAUUCAAAUUUACUUUAUCAUAUGAAUAUAGCUGACUUAGGUAUUAAAAGUUACAAAAUAAAUAUUGUGACCGACUUAACAUUAAAAUGAUGUAAAAAAGGACCGACUAAAUAUUAAAUUAUAAAGAUUUUAGGAGGACAAUUCCUAAAUCCCGCCCGAAUUAAAUUAACUAAUUCCGGAAUCCUGUCCCAUAAAGUAGUUUAAAAUCUCUUAAAACACCAAUAGAACCUAGUAAAUAUCCUACUGACUUCAGGUUCUUUUUCUUCCUGUCUGUUUCUAAUAUCGAUAAUUAGCAAAAAGGUUCCUCUAGACAAUUAACCCAACCACGAUUUAUAAUUGUAUAACAUUCACGACUAAGAGAAUGUAACAAAACGAUCAUAGGAAUAUUGCACAUAACUGUACAUAACAGUUAAGGAAAAAAUUGAAGACUAUAACCAAUUUAAUAAAGAAAAUUAAAAUAUUUAAUAACUAUGAAAUUAUAUGUAAAAUAUUUUAUUCAGGUAAUUUUUAAAUAUUUAUACAUAUUUUAAUACUAUAAACAAUUUUAAGGGAAAUUUUGAAGACUAUAAAAAAUUUGGUAAAAAAAAAUAUUUAUUAAGGUAAUUUUGUUUUAAGUUUUAACUAUUUAUACAUAUUUUAAGAUUUCUAUUUCUAGUAAAAUAUAUCUUUGACAAACAAAAGUUUAAAAACAACCAGUUAAUAUUUUUUUGUUUCUUUUUAAAUAACAAGCAUAAUAUUUAUUUAGACAAAAUUACAGUAACUUAAAAACAACAUGCAUACUAUAUAAUCAAUCCAUUCAUGAUAAUAUAUAUAUAUAUAUAUAUAAUAUAUAUAUAUCUUUUUUUUUUGGUAAAAUGCUAAAUAUAAUACCAAUUUUUAAUUUUUUACAGAAAAUACACAGUAACAAGUAGCGGAAAUGCAAUAAUUAAACUAAAUAGAGAGUCUAGCAUAAGAAAGUACAAAAAUGAAAGGAGUCGAGACCAAGACGAAGAUCCGACAGCAACGAAGCCGUGAUGGACCUGAAGAAGAGGCAUGAGCGGAACGAGCAUCCGGUUGCCGCGAGCUAUUCUUAAUUAUAAUCCAUUACUUAUCAAAAUGCAUGCUAUUAAAAAAUAAUCCAUUACUUAAUGAUAAAAGUAUAAACUGCAUAUUUAUUAGUAAUUUUGUUUUAUUGCUUUGAUUUUUUUAAAAAAUAUUAAAAAUGAAAAAUUUGAAAAAUAAUAUCUGAAAAUCAAAAAUAAAAUCUGAAAACAAGUUAUAUGUCUUAACUAUUUACAGAUUUUAACAAUGAAACUUUUGAUUUAUUUUAAUGGUAUUUUAAAAUAUUUGAUUGAUAUGUUUAUUAUUUUAAAAUAAAUUACAGUUAUUUUUUUUAGAAAACUAGAUAUAUACAGAAUAACCAAAAACCAAAACCAAAAUCUGAAAAUCAAAAACGAAAAACUAAAAUUAAAAACAAAAUCUAAAAAAAAAACUAAAAUCUACUAAAACAAUCAACACCUUACUAGUCUAUAUUUAAAAUUGUUUUGAUAACAAUAGACAUAAGUUUCAACGCUAACAACUAUGUGGAUCAUUGGUGAUAAUUGUCUACGUAAACUGAUCAUUACCCACAAUCUUUCUAUAAACACUGAUGACACCGAAAUAUCAGCAACAUAACUGUUAAAUAACAAAAGUACUAGAAUUUGUUUUAUUAUUUUUAUCCUCCAUCGAGUACACCAACUAAUAGUAUCGACAACGCAUAGAAAAGGGUUUGAAACACUCGAGUCCCCAAAUUCAGUUGAUAGAAUAGGAAUGUGUAUACUGGUCUGUAUUCUAUGUAUUACAAGAUCGCAAAAUAUACAGCCCACUUCAAUACUGAUGACCAAUUUUUUUGCCACAUACAUUUUCAAUGGAACACUAUUAUUUUCUCUAUAUUUUACAUUAAAAUAGAGAAAAUAGAGUUAUUUUAUAAUAGAGUAAAAUAUAGAAAAAUGUUAUUUUUUUUCUCCAAAUUAUUGGAACAAAUUUAACUCUAUAAUAAAGUUAUUUUAUUUUAGUGUAAAAUAUAAAUGAAAAAAUUGUGUUCCAUUGGAAAUGGUCCAAGUAAGUUAAUAUCACCAAAAAUAAAAAAAAUUGAUUUACAAAAAAGUUGUCCUAGAGUCAAUGCUUCCAAAGCAAAAAAAGUAAAAACAAAGAAGCAUUAUGAAUUUAAGUGAAAAGUGAGAUCUCCGAUUAAGUGAGCCACAAAGAUAGAAGGUUUCUGAAGAACUUCUUCUUCCUUCUUCCAAGGAUGAUGUUCCUCACGUCUCGAUCAAUAAGCCGGAAUAAAGAGGCUGCCGUCAUGAAGACGGUCACUUGUUUCAUUUUAAUCCGAUAAAAUUGUUAUUUUAAUGUUAAUACACACGUAACAAAACAAAAAGGAUAAAUGUAUGUAUACUUAUUCAAAACUCAUUUAUUAAAAUGCGUUAGAGCACAAAAAUAGUUUAAAAGCACAAAGUAAACGAAUUGAUUAAAAACUUGCUUAAAAAUCAGUAUCGCCUUACUAACGAGCACGCAGGUCUUGUGUCAUCGUGUACUUAACAAAUUUGACUUAAUAAUAUAAUUUGGCGAAAGCAUGUUUGACUAAAUAAUAAUUAUUUUUCAAAUAGAUUAGAUAAUGUAACUGGAACGCAUGUACUAAUACACAAUAUAUUAUGUAUACAUAAAGUGUUAUGCAUUUUCAACUUAAGCUGAUCAUGUCAAAUGUAUUUACUAUUUUCUUUUCAUUUUUGGAUUAGAACGUUAAAUGUAUCUCCUCGACAACAACAACAAAAUAAAAUGCACUCCUUGUUAGAAAUCCCACGAUCUUAUUGUGAUAUAAUAGUAGUAAAAGAAAUUUGAAUAUGACAUGUAAUCUACUGAUAGGUAUGUGUUUACUUGUCGACAAAACUAGGAAUAAUUUUAAUCUCGGCGCUUUUGCACAAUACAAUAAAAUUUUAUAGUUCUAGGCCACAUUGUGAAGUGUGGAUCGCGUAGCAACAUUAAAUGGCAGGUAUGGUAGGUUGUUUUAAACUUUUUCGUGUGCACAUACAAAAACACUAGUUAACUUGACAGCAAAAUAGAUUAUUAAUGUUUGCGAUACCACUAAAGCCGUUGGCUUUUAAUUUCUUUUACAAAAAUUGAAAGAUUGGUCACUAGUUUAUUUUGAAGUCAAAACAGUCGUGUAAGCUAAUUUAUAAUUUAUAAUAUCUAUAUUCCUAAAAUAAACUACACAAAGAUUUUUUUAUUUGUACAUAACUAAUUAACUAGUACUAACUACUAAGUCAAAAAAAAAACUUAAAUUAUUUUCUUUAUUGAUGAUUUAUAUAUAGAUUGACUUUCGAUCCAAGAUUCCCGACGACGUUGGCUUCUAGAACCAGACUUUAUCUCUCCCUCCGGUUUAAUAUUUUAUCUGCUUUGUUUGUCAAUCCUUCAUUUGUAUCUCUCCCAUUUCCAUGAUUUUUCUAUUUUUUCAUACAACUUUCCUAUUCUGCCAAAAAAACAUGAAUUUUUGGGCUGACCAAAAAAACACCAAACUUUCAUUGACUUUAAAAUUAAUUAACAAUGUUUUCGCUGACUUGCCAAUUUAGCACGCCGUCAAUAAAUUUAACAGAAAUAUUUGACGUCGUUUAUUGUUGGCGUUAAGUGAAAUGACGUCGUUUUCAAAUGAGAUGAAACGACGUCGUUUUACAUAAUUUGAAAUUAAAAAUAUGUAAACCCCUGGAUUCGAACCCAGGUUGAUUGGUCAAAUGACAAGGUAUUUUAUCACUGGGCUACUGACACUUUCAAUGUACUUACUAACAUGUUUACGUUUAUUUGGUACAUAUUAAAUAUAAAAAAUUCUCUAAAAACUUAAUAAGAUCUUUAAAAUUCCAAAAAAAUUAAAAA